AUACGUAGGGUGCAAGCGUUAAUCGGAAUUACUGGGCGUAAAGCGUACGCAGGCGGUUUUGUAAGUCAGAAGUGAAAUCCCCGGGCUCAACCUGGGAACUGCCUUUGUGACUGCAAGGCUAGAGUCCGGGAGAGGGGGGUGGAAUUCCCGGUGUAGCGGUGAAAGGCGUAGAUAUUUGGAGGAAAACCGAUGGCGAAGGCAAUCCCCUGGGCCUGUACUGACGCUCAUGCACGAAAGCGGGGGGAGCAAACAGGAUUAGAUACCCUGGUAGUCCACGCCCUAAACGAUGUCAACUGGUUGUUGGGUCUUCAUUGACUCAGUAACGAAGCUAACGCGUGAAGUUGACCGCCUGGGGAGUACGGCCGCAAGGUUGAAACUCAAAUGAAUUGACGGGG
Molecule: ribosomal RNA, 395 nt
Filed under: uncultured bacterium
Lineage: Bacteria
Description: partial 16S ribosomal RNA
Rfam family: Bacterial small subunit ribosomal RNA
Source: RNAcentral